Molecule: transfer RNA, 76 nt
Filed under: Actinomadura barringtoniae
Lineage: Bacteria; Bacillati; Actinomycetota; Actinomycetes; Streptosporangiales; Thermomonosporaceae
Description: tRNA-Leu
Source: RNAcentral
GCGCGCCCGAUGCGCAGGCAGUGGUUACUUCCACUCUUCAUGGAGAGGUCGCAGGUUCAAAUCCUGCUCGCCCGCC